Molecule: non-coding RNA, 255 nt
Organism: Thiorhodospira sibirica ATCC 700588
Lineage: Bacteria; Pseudomonadati; Pseudomonadota; Gammaproteobacteria; Chromatiales; Ectothiorhodospiraceae
Source: Rfam
GUCAACUACCCCGCCCUAAAGGGCGGAGCUUGCCUGCCUGCCGCGACGCAGGCAGGUGAAAGCAAGCUCGGUUGACCAGGGCAAGCGGUGCAAACCCGCUACGUGCAUCACAGGUCGUUAAGACCCACUCCGGGAUGCUUCCUCAGUCCCGGACUCUGGAAGGUUGGGAUCAUGCUGGCGAAAGGUAAAACGCCGAAGGUUUUAGCCGCCGCGCAAGCGGGAGCCGGUGAUGCACAUGCCCGAGGGGAGCGAGCC